This is a long non-coding RNA of Felis catus (domestic cat), 992 nucleotides long. RefSeq lists it as uncharacterized. The transcript is spliced from 3 exons. Lineage: Eukaryota; Metazoa; Chordata; Mammalia; Carnivora; Felidae. The record is from RefSeq and is a predicted model, not a curated record.
UGACUGAGCCAGCCAGGUGCCCCCAAAUGCAAAUUUUCUUAACAAGAAAAGUACAGGGUUUAAGAACAAUCGCAAUGUCUAUGGCUAACACUUACAGAGCACCUACUACGAUGUCAGCCAUUAUUCCAAGCACUCUUCAUAUUUAUUAGAACUCUGUGAGAUGGGAACCAUUAUUUUCCUCAUUUUCUAGAAGAAAUGGAGGCACAGAGAGAUCAAACAACUGGCCAAAGAUCACCCAGCUCGCCUCAGCUGUGUCCAGAGGCCUUAACAGCUACAUUACAGGCAUCUCCAAUCAACACUGUGGUCUGGAGAUGCUCCCUUGACCUCUCUAAUGUGAUUCACAGAUACGCUUGUGAACAUUUGACAGCGUUGAUGAGCAGAACGGCUGAGCGUGCUGGUGGCCAGUUGGAAAGCACACGAAGCCAGGGACUGGAGGGACGCCCAGCCUCCUGGUGGGCUCUGAGUCACAUAGGUCAGCCAGGGCUGGCCGGCUCAGCCUGUCACCCUCAGCUGUCUCUCUUGUGUUGCACGGAGGAGCCGGGGCUCAGAGAUGGGAACUGCCAUGUAUAAGCUCUCUGGCAAAAUCAGCUUCCAGGUGAAGAAAACCCACAUACCCGAAGGGAAAUACAUAUGCCACUCUUACUGCCGAGACCUGGUGCAUCUGGAUUAUCCCCAGAAUGGGAAAUUAGCGAGCCGCACAAACGCUCGCGAAGUAAGACGUUCGGGCAAAAAGAACGCUCAGGUUACAAAAUGAACAUGUCUACAGAGAGGACACCACUUGACAAGGAGACCCAGCAGUGGAUAGUGACUCUUCACCUUGGGGACAGUAUUAAUCUCCUAGGCACAGGCUCUGGUUUUAGAUGACCCUGCAAGAGAUAAUGCCAAUGUGAACGCACCAUAAUAAUGGCGACUACUUGGGGCACCUGGCUGGCUCAGUCCGUGGAUCAUACGACUCUUGAUCUCGGGGUCAUGUGUUCAAGCUCCAUGAUGGG